AAGGCGUAGCUGAACCUGCGGAAGGAACAUUAACACGGAUUCAAACUGUAAAACUCCCCCCGUGAACAUUCAUCCUACUCUUGUAACCCUCGAAGCUUUGCAAUCUCUGGUAAUCAUUCCCGGAAAGUAGUUUUGAUUCAGAGACCUCUGGCCCGUGAGAGUAUUGGAACGGUUACAAUUUUGAGCGGUAGUUCUAGAGGCCGCCUUGAGCAGUCAGUGUAUGUGUCAUUGAUUGCGCAAGGAUAACGCUCCACGGUUCUUGUAGACCGCAUCUCAGCAGGCAGGAGCUAGGCCAAAGGGUCCCCAACAGGCCAAUGUGAAGCUCAAUGUAAUACAUUAACUGUUAACGAUCGAUAUCUUGGUUCUG
This 367-nucleotide unclassified non-coding RNA is filed under the name fungal sp. RNAcentral describes it as "partial internal transcribed spacer region". Lineage: Eukaryota; Fungi. The record is from RNAcentral.